RNAcentral lists this ribosomal RNA (342 nucleotides) under uncultured bacterium. RNAcentral's name for it is "bacterial SSU rRNA". It matches the Rfam family "Bacterial small subunit ribosomal RNA", at positions 772 to 1104 of the family's 1533-position model. The record is from RNAcentral.
ACGGAAUAGAUACCCCGGUAGUCCAUGCCGUAAACUAUGGAUACUAGCUGUUGGGGGUAGUCGACCCCUCCACGUAGCGAAAGACUAAACGACGUUAAGUAAUCCCGCCUGUGGAGUACGAUCGCAAGAUUAAAACAAUAAAGGAAUUGACGGGGACCCGGCACAAGCGGUGGAGCGUGUUCUUUAAUUCGAUGCUAAACGAAGAACCUUACCAGGGCUUGACAUCCCUUGAAUUACUCCGAAAGGAGUGAGUGCUUUAUUGAGCAAGGCGACAGGUGAUGCAUGGCCGUCGUCAGCUCGUGUCGUGAGAUGUUUGGUUAAGUCCAUCAACGAGCGCAACCC